This 45-nucleotide transfer RNA is filed under the name Gekko badenii (golden gecko). RNAcentral describes it as "partial tRNA-Cys". The record is from RNAcentral. Lineage: Eukaryota; Metazoa; Chordata; Lepidosauria; Squamata; Gekkonidae.
AGCCCCGGCACCUUAUUCGGGUGCGUUUCUAAAUUUGCACUUUAG